This 837-nucleotide small RNA is filed under the name Pyrenochaetopsis sp. 1 NV-2015. RNAcentral describes it as "eukaryotic LSU rRNA". It matches the Rfam family "Eukaryotic large subunit ribosomal RNA", at positions 50 to 905 of the family's 3401-position model. Lineage: Eukaryota; Fungi; Ascomycota; Dothideomycetes; Pleosporales; Pyrenochaetopsidaceae. The record is from RNAcentral.
GCGGAGGAAAAGAAACCAACAGGGAUUGCCCUAGUAACGGCGAGUGAAGCGGCAUCAGCUCAAAUUUGAAAUCUGGCUCUUUCAGAGUCCGAGUUGUAAUUUGCAGAGGGCGCUUUGGUGUCGGCAGCGGUCCAAGUUCCUUGGAACAGGACGUCACAGAGGGUGAGAAUCCCGUACGUGGUCGCUGACCUACACCGUGUAAAGCCCCUUCGACGAGUCGAGUUGUUUGGGAAUGCAGCUCUAAAUGGGAGGUAAAUUUCUUCUAAAGCUAAAUACUGGCCAGAGACCGAUAGCGCACAAGUAGAGUGAUCGAAAGAUGAAAAGCACUUUGGAAAGAGAGUCAAACAGCACGUGAAAUUGUUGAAAGGGAAGCGCUUGCAGCCAGACUUGCUUGUAGUUGCUCAUCCGGGCUUUUGCCCGGUGCACUCUUCUGCGAGCAGGCCAGCAUCAGUUUGGACGGUUGGAUAAAGGCCUCUGUCACGUACCUUCUCUCGGGAAGGCCUUAUAGGGGAGGCGUCAUGCAACCAGUCUGGACUGAGGUCCGCGCAUCUGCUAGGAUGCUGGCGUAAUGGCUGUAAGCGGCCCGUCUUGAAACACGGACCAAGGAGUCUAACAUCUAUGCGAGUGUUUGGGUGUCAAGCCCGAGCGCGUAAUGAAAGUGAACGGAGGUGGGAUCCCGCAAGGGUGCACCAUCGACCGAUCCUGAUGUCUUCGGAUGGAUUUGAGUAAGAGCAUGGCUGUUGGGACCCGAAAGAUGGUGAACUAUGCUUGAAUAGGGUGAAGCCAGAGGAAACUCUGGUGGAGGCUCGCAGCGGUUCUGACGUGCAAAUCGAUCGU